CGCACAGUGGCUUAGUGGUUAGCCUGUUCGCCUCACACCUCCAGGGUCGGGGGUUCGAGUCCCGCCGGGGCCG
This is a non-coding RNA of Ameiurus melas (black bullhead), 73 nucleotides long. NCBI's taxonomy places the organism in Eukaryota, Metazoa, Chordata, Actinopteri, Siluriformes, Ictaluridae. The record is from the annotation of a GenBank genome assembly.